This 273-nucleotide ribosomal RNA is filed under the name uncultured prokaryote. Its description in RNAcentral is "partial 16S ribosomal RNA". It matches the Rfam family "Bacterial small subunit ribosomal RNA", at positions 524 to 794 of the family's 1533-position model. The record is from RNAcentral.
UACGUAGGGGGCUAGCGUUAUCCGGAAUUACUGGGGCGUAAAAGGGCGCGUAGGCGGUCUGUUAAGUCUGGCGUUAAAGCCUGGGGCUCAACCCCAGAUCAGCGUUGGAUACUGGCAGGCUAGACGGUUGGAGAGGCGAGUGGAAUUACCAGUGUAGCGGUGGAAUGCGUAGAUACUGGUAGGAACACCCAUUGCGAAGGCAGCUCGCUGGACAACACGUGACGCUGAGGCGCGAAAGUGUGGGGAGCAAACCGGAUUAGAUACCCGCGUAGU